UACGUAGGGGGCAAGCGUUAUCCGGAAUUACUGGGUGUAAAGGGUGCGUAGGUGGUAUGGCAAGUCAGAAGUGAAAACCCAGGGCUUAACUCUGGGACUGCUUUUGAAACUGUCAGACUGGAGUGCAGGAGAGGUAAGCGGAAUUCCUAGUGUAGCGGUGAAAUGCGUAGAUAUUAGGAGGAACAUCAGUGGCGAAGGCGGCUUACUGGACUGAAACUGACACUGAGGCACGAAAGCGUGGGGAGCAAACA
This 251-nucleotide ribosomal RNA is filed under the name uncultured bacterium. RNAcentral's name for it is "partial 16S ribosomal RNA". It matches the Rfam family "Bacterial small subunit ribosomal RNA", at positions 524 to 774 of the family's 1533-position model. The record is from RNAcentral.